GUUUGCUCAUGUCAAUCACCUAGUAUUUUAAAUAGUCAAUACUAAAAUGCAGUACAUGCAUUUUAUUUUAUAGCCUCAUAGAUUACUGUGGGAGUUUUCAUAGUUUUCAUCUCUAUAAUCUCAUUUGACUCAUGAUAAUCCAAGGAGGUAUGUGCUAUUAUUGUUAAUGUCUCUGUUUUACAGAUGAGGGAACUGAUAUAUCUAGAUCUAUGAGCAGAGGGGUGUUUGCAUGUGUGUGUGUGUGUGUGUGUGUGUGUGUGUGUGUGAGUGUUUCUCUGUGUGUGAAUGAAUAUAUGUGCAUGUGCUAUAUAUAUUCUGAGGCCAGAGUUGACACUGUGCCUUCCUCCAUAACUCUCCACUAUAUUUAAUUUUAAGCAGUCUCUUGCUGAAGCCAGAUUUUGCAGCUUUGGCUAGUUUAGUUAGCCAGUUUGCCCCAGAGAUCCCCACCUCUGUCUCCUUGAUGCUAUGUAGCUGCCGCCCCUGUCUGGCUUUUUGAUGGGUUCUGGGUAUCUGAACACAUCUUCCCAACCCUUUGAGUGGGAUUUUUUUGAAGUUUCUGGUUCUAGGAUUUCAUAAAAAAUAAAUCCCAAAGGACUACUUAUGAUUCUGCCAUCCCAGUGUAUUCAGGCCAGCUAAGGAAAAGACCUAGUCUACAUCUUCUAAAAGGCUCACCAUGUAGAUCUAGUUGGACUUUACUGGUCCCCCUGUAGAGUGCACUCCUGUGUUCAAAGACCUGUGUGGCAGGAGGAACUGGUAAAAUAAGAAUUAUGAAAAUGGGCUCCUAAUGAGGGCCUUGACACUGCUCUCACCCAUAUAUGGCUGCCUGUGCUCCCUCUGAGGCAUAUACAUCCUCUGACCUAGAAAUUCUUUUGUAAAUUUUUAAAAGAUUUUUUUGGAGGGUCCCCCCAAUCUCCUAUUUCCUGAGGUUGCCUGUUUCCAUUCUUUCUGCUGGCCCUCAGGGCUUCAGCCCUUUUCCCUCACCCAAUACCAGAUCAGGCUCCCCACUAAUGCCCACUUUCUCUCCCAGUUCCCUCCCUUCCUCCCUGCUUGUGAUUGCUUUCUUCUCCCUCCCAAGUGGCACUGAGGAGUUCUCACUUGGGCACCUCAGCUUGUUGACCUUUUUGAGUUCUGUGGACUGUAUCCUGGGUAUUCUGUACUUUUUUGUUUGUUUGUUUUUUUGUUUUUUUGUUUUUGUUUUGUUCUGUUUUGGCUAAUAUCCACUUAUUAGUGAGUACAUGCCAUGCACGUCCUUUUGGGUCUGAAUGCACCAGAGACCUGGGAGGUGAGAGACUCUCCAGACUCAAAGGAAGGGAUCUUAGAUGAAAUGCCCAACAGUAGGGAGAGGG
This 1346-nucleotide long non-coding RNA is filed under the name Mus musculus (house mouse). RNAcentral describes it as "long non-coding RNA chrX:36187126-36188472". The record is from RNAcentral. Lineage: Eukaryota; Metazoa; Chordata; Mammalia; Rodentia; Muridae.